GAUUGUGUGAUGUACGCCAAGAAGGAAAUUUUGAUUUAUGUUCUAUCAGUAACUUUGAUCUCAUGUAGUCUACAAAAGGAUGCAUCAUCACUUUCUAGUUACAUGUAUUCGAGUUUAGAAGGUUUUCAUUGCCAAAUCUAUCAGUAACUUUGAUCUAAGCCUACCACAUUUCUUAAGAGAUUUGUAGAUGUUCAUCAAUCAGUUGGUCCUGCAUCAAAUAAGCCUGUUGUGCUGCUACUGUUAAACUUGCCAAUGGAGAAGGGAGUUUUUCGUAUCAACCCUCCUUUAAAAAUCUCACUUAUUUGUAUUGGUGGCAGUAGUUUGACAGUUUCAUCACUUUUGCGUUGAAGUAUCAGCAUAUGAAAUAAGUUUGUUUAAUUUUAAGUUUUCUUGUGAUUGAUUUCUUUUCAGUUUUCCUAAUAUGAUAUUAUAAAAUUAACUAUGGUAAAAUGUAAUCGUACUCAUGUUAGGUGUUAUUAGCCAAUGCAAUAUUUGUUAGUCCUUUUUUAGCUAAUAUUGACAGUAUCAAUUGUUUUGGGCAGUUCUGUUCAACGUGCUUAAUUUCCUGAUAAGUACAGCUGAUUUAUUGGUAUUUGCUGAUAUUUCAAAACUUGAUAUUAUGUUUACCUAGGUCCGAUCGAUCAGGGAAUUGGUCUAAAUACAUCUUUCUAUAUAACAACCAAAUCUAUCUCCUCUAUUAUACUGAAGCAUAUUUACUUUGCUAUGUGUGAAUCUCUGUUUCAAUUUGUUUCUAUUAAUUUGGUCUUAACAUAUAUGGAUGAUAAAUAUAUAUCUUAAUAGUUAAUAAUACACAAUUAGUAUGACGUAAGUAUUUAAUAAUCAUAAAUUACGACAUCGACAGAGUGUCCUAGAAAAGUGUCAGAAAUUAAUAUUAGUCUUAUAUAUUUAUUGUUUUCUAUUUCACUCCCUACUUUUACUACUUGCAUAUGCUCAUCUUAAAGCAAUCUUGGAUUUUGAUGUAAUGCCCAGGUAAGCCUAAAGGAUCAGAUAUCGUGCUGGAAGCAAUACUGGAAGCAGAGGUGGCUCAAAAUGCCAAACAUUUCUUCUCACAGCCAGGGAACCAGAUACCUGAAGAUAUACCAAAACGAUGUCGCAGGGAAGAGCGAGGAGGGUCGUGCAUUGUAGCCGGUGUAAUCAGUCGCGGGGAAGAGCCGGUGUAAUCAGUUAGAACUACUUGUGCAGCUCCUUUAUGAAACAAGGUUUCUCUGCAAUAAUGAGAAAAGUUUAGAUUCAUCAUAUAGUCUGUGUUCUUUCUUUUUUAGCUUGUAGAGAGUUUUGAAUUAUAGUGAAUAUUGUGAUGGGUUCUUGUAUGGUGUGCCAAAUUGAAGGCUGUGGAGGAAAUUGCAUUUUAGUAGGGAGAAGAGCAUUGGUUAAGUUUACAUAUGCGUGCUGGUGAUACAUAAUGUAAAUGAUGAAGCAUUUUUUUGUGUUGAAAAACGAUUAAGUGUACAAAGCGUUGCUUUUUCAUC
This is a long non-coding RNA of Asparagus officinalis (garden asparagus), 1490 nucleotides long. RefSeq lists it as uncharacterized. The record is from RefSeq and is a predicted model, not a curated record. NCBI's taxonomy places the organism in Eukaryota, Viridiplantae, Streptophyta, Magnoliopsida, Asparagales, Asparagaceae. The transcript is spliced from 2 exons.